Molecule: ribosomal RNA, 47 nt
Filed under: Schistosoma rodhaini
Lineage: Eukaryota; Metazoa; Platyhelminthes; Trematoda; Strigeidida; Schistosomatidae
Description: partial 12S ribosomal RNA
Source: RNAcentral
UUUCUAUUUGACCCUGGUAGAUAAUAGAAACGUGGUUAGUAGAGCUA